Long non-coding RNA from Leptidea sinapis, 413 nucleotides. RefSeq lists it as uncharacterized. The record is from RefSeq and is a predicted model, not a curated record. The transcript has 2 exons. NCBI's taxonomy places the organism in Eukaryota, Metazoa, Arthropoda, Insecta, Lepidoptera, Pieridae.
CUUGAUAUAAAACAUAUAAAAUGAUGCGAAUUCUUUAAUUAAUAAUAAAGUCUCAACCAGAAAAUGGCGAACAAGACGGCUACUAUCUUUCUUCUCCUGGUGUGUCUAUCAUUAAUUUUGGCAAGUUCAACGAGAUUUAGUCGUUUGAGAGUUUUAGCAAGCAGGCUGCGAGGACGACGUGAUACUGUUGGACCUAAUUUUUCCAGUAACCAACUUGUGGCCGAAGACUCCGCUGUCAACAAUAUAGGACAAGGAUUUAUUUCAAGAUAGUAAACAAAGCCACAUGGAGUCGCAAACAGUAUAUCAGUGUUUUGUCUUCAAUUAGUUUGUCAAAAUAAAAUGACAAUAUAUCCUUAUUACCUUACCUUCUAUUUCUAUAUAUAAUAUCCAAUAAAUAUUUAUUUUUGUUUUAA